RNAcentral lists this ribosomal RNA (254 nucleotides) under uncultured bacterium. RNAcentral describes it as "partial 16S ribosomal RNA". It matches the Rfam family "Bacterial small subunit ribosomal RNA", at positions 524 to 776 of the family's 1533-position model. The record is from RNAcentral.
UACGUAGGUGGCAAGCGUUGUCCGGAUUUAUUGGGUUUAAAGGGCGCGUAGGCGGCCACCGCAAGUCGACUGUGAAAUCUCCGGGCUUAACCCGGAAAGGUCAGCCGAUACUGCGGGGCUAGAGUGCAGAAGGGGCAACUGGAAUUCUCGGUGUAGCGGUGAAAUGCGUAGAUAUCGGGAGGAACACCGUUGGCGAAGGCGACUUUCUGGGCUGCUACUGACGCUGAGGCGCGAAAGUCAGGGGAGCGAACAGG